UUUAGAGUUUGAUCCAUGGCUCAGAUUGAACGCUGGCGGCAGGCCUAACACAUGCAAGUCGAGCGGAAACGAUCCUAGCUUGCUAGGAGGCGUCGAGCGGCGGACGGGUGAGUAAUGCAUAGGAAUCUGCCCGGUAGUGGGGGAUAACGUGGGGAAACUCACGCUAAUACCGCAUACGCCCUACGGGGGAAAGCAGGGGAUCUUCGGACCUUGCGCUAUCGGAUGAGCCUAUGUCGGAUUAGCUUGUUGGUGAGGUAAUGGCUCACCAAGGCGACGAUCCGUAGCUGGUCUGAGAGGAUGAUCAGCCACACUGGGACUGAGACACGGCCCAGACUCCUACGGGAGGCAGCAGUGGGGAAUAUUGGACAAUGGGGGAAACCCUGAUCCAGCCAUGCCGCGUGUGUGAAGAAGGCUUUCGGGUUGUAAAGCACUUUCAGCGACGAAGAAGGCCUGACGGUUAAUACCUGUCAGGAAGGACAUCACUCGCAGAAGAAGCACCGCAA
Molecule: ribosomal RNA, 503 nt
Filed under: Onishia taeanensis
Lineage: Bacteria; Pseudomonadati; Pseudomonadota; Gammaproteobacteria; Oceanospirillales; Halomonadaceae
Description: bacterial SSU rRNA
Rfam family: Bacterial small subunit ribosomal RNA
Source: RNAcentral